AGGAUAAACGCUGGCGGCGUGCAUUAGACAUGCAAGUCGAACGGACUUCUCGGGGCUUGCUCUGAGAAGUUAGUGGCGGACGGCUGAGUAACGCGUAGGUGACCUACCCCGAAGUGGGGAAUAACUGCCCGAAAGGGUGGCUAAUACCGCAUGCGAUCGUAUGUUCAUUCGUACGAUCAAAGCAGCAAUGCGCUUCGGGAGGGCCUGCGUCCGAUUAGCUCGUUGGUGGGUAAUGGCUCACCAAGGCGACGAUCGGUAGGUGGUCUGAGAGGACGAUCACCCAGACUGGGACUGAGACACGGCCCAGACUCCGUACGGGAGCAGCAGUCGGGAAUUUUGCUCAAGUGGGCGC
RNAcentral lists this ribosomal RNA (352 nucleotides) under uncultured soil bacterium. RNAcentral describes it as "bacterial SSU rRNA". It matches the Rfam family "Bacterial small subunit ribosomal RNA", at positions 26 to 378 of the family's 1533-position model. The record is from RNAcentral.